CUAUUGGUUUGAACGCAUCACUCUAGUGUUGACCUUGAGCUACUGACAUUUAAAAACUGGAUGAAACAAACUUCAAUAUGUUUCCCCCUUUUCAGAGGAGAGCAGUUGCCAAUUGAGGCACACAGAAUGAAACCUAUUUAGAACAGAUGUUAGCUUCUUCUUCUUCUUCCUUUUUUUUUUUUGGAAGGAAAAAGUCACGUGAAAUGAGCAGAUGUUCAGUGCGGUGCGGAGGCUCACACAGUGCAUUGCGUCGCAGUGCGCGGACGGAAGGGAACCCGCACGGCACGCCGAACCGAGCCCGACAUCGCGCUUAGCGGCCCACAGCCUCCCGUUAAAUGGAUUUUAUCGGAAUGAUCGCGCGUGGACGUGCAGGAAUCAUCUUGCUGCACAAAAAGAAAAAAGAAAAGAAAAGCAAAGCAGGGGCGUCAUGGCGACACACAGCCCACUGUUUAAGGAACCACUUGGAUGUCAAGAACCGUGCCCCAUUCACUUGAGAACUUAGGUGGAUUUCAUACGAAAACCUAGUGCUCCAAUGUGUAGACACUUCACUUGAUAAAAACACUGAAUAUUAGGAAAAUAACCCCAAACUGAUUUGGAAGGAUGUCAAAAUGUAACAUGUAGUACAUAGCAUGUCAGCCAUUUUUGUGGAUGGUGUACUUACCAUUUGUCUUUUGUGUGUCAAUUUGUUUGUUUAUAAAACUAAUAUUAUUGUAAUUUACAUUACAACUAUACGAUUGCAAAGCCGCCAAACUUAGUUGUCAGAGCGAAAUGUUAUCGAUCAUCUUUUUGGCAAAUAACCUUUUGAUUCCUGUUUGCUGCAAUAAACCGAUGUCCCUGUCACAAAUUGAUCUGUGCCGUAUAUGUCUGACAACCUUGCUCAAAACAAUUUAUAGAGGAAGUUUGCAAAAAAUAUAUAUUGUUAACAGUCAUUAUAACUAUCGCUUUUUGUCAUAUUGAUAAAACUUCUCGUCAUUAUGACUUGACAGUAGUACAUGACAAUUUUGAUCUGUGAAAAAAAAAUGAGCCGCAUCUUGUACCUUAAUUUCAUGUACAAGAAACCACCACGCCCGAAGAAGAACAACCAAUCGUAGACAGGUGCGAUGAGAUGUGGCAGAAACAGAUUAUUCCCCCCCGCCCCCACAGAUAACAUUUAUCACGUACUCGUUACUGUCAAGUCGUAAUGACAAAAAGUUUUAAAAUACGACAGAUUUGAUUUAUUUAUUUGUUUUUAUUCACAAACUCUCCUUUAAUGUUUGUGUUUUUAUGUUGGAAAAUUGUAUUUCACUGCUGUAUAAUGUACAUUCAUAUCUAAAAACAUACAAUAAAUACUCCAGAAAUAUUUCU
Phyllopteryx taeniolatus (common seadragon) is the source of this 1344-nucleotide long non-coding RNA. RefSeq lists it as uncharacterized. Lineage: Eukaryota; Metazoa; Chordata; Actinopteri; Syngnathiformes; Syngnathidae. The transcript is spliced from 2 exons. The record is from RefSeq and is a predicted model, not a curated record.